This 3954-nucleotide unclassified non-coding RNA is filed under the name Leishmania donovani. RNAcentral describes it as "gene:LdHU3.24.1930(CDS-product:SAP_domain/ERCC4_d omain_containing_protein_putative)". Lineage: Eukaryota; Euglenozoa; Kinetoplastea; Trypanosomatida; Trypanosomatidae. The record is from RNAcentral.
CGCUUUCACGUAACAGUACUUCGUCUUUCUGGUUUCCAUGGCGCCCCGUCCUCUUUCUGCCGCAUCGGCAACAUCGAGAAGUGGUGGUCGCACAGCGUCCAAGCGCGCGCACACACAAAGUCAGGGCAUUUUAGGGCGCAGAAGGGCAACGACUGAGUGGAUGUGACGCACCCCUCCACUCGUUUCGCCUCCACCCAAUCCUUCACCAGUGCAGCCGUCCCUCCUCCUCUCUCACUUGCUUUGCCAUAUUAUCGACCCCUUAACGCCCCCCCCUCGCCCCCCAUCUCUCUCGUAGACAGAUACAGCUUUCAAACUCUUGAGCACGUAUAUAUAUAUAUAUAUAUACACGGGCACACCUUCAUAGACGACUGCACCCACUCCUCUUCCCUCCUCCUCCCUGAUGGCGGAGCCACAGUCGCGUGCGCCAGCCCCCCUCUGUGCCGGAGCCACAGACAAUGUCGUGGCAGCGUCGGCGGGUAUUUCCGUCAACGUGCGUCUCUGUAAGCACCUUCUUCAAGGUUCUUCUCACACUCGGCCACAGCCGUUGACGAGCUCGGUGUUCCUCGACGCACUCGCGCGGUAUCCUCUACCAGUCGUCUCGGCGGCCACUGCGCACGAUGUUGCCGGCUCAGAGCAGCAGCUGCAGCUGCACCAACUGUCAGCCCACUCUCCUUCGCAGCCUUUUUCAGAGGUGCCAUCGGAACCGGCAACGGCCGCGUCCGCUUCGCCGAUGCGGAUUCGCAUAUCCACCGCAUCACCGCGUGGCGAAGGGCGCAUGAGUUUCAGCGGCGCAGCCCAGCAUGUUGCCAGUGAUCUGACAGCUGCGAUAAACCAAUUCUGGGCUCUGUCACCCGCCUCGGCGGCGCCGCAUUCCCCGCUGCUCACGACUGUUGAGGAGGACACGCAAGGCCCUUUGCAUACAGCCGCCGUCGUUGCUUGCAGCUCCGCAUCUCAGCAGACGCCGCCUCCCCCGCCACCGUGGGUGGCCUUCUCGCCCUUCCGCUUUUGCGCUGAUCCGUCGUUUCACGCAGCGCUGCAACGCCUUCCGAGACACCGCGGCGACACAGCCGAUAAUCAUCAGCUAAGACAGCGCGCUGUGGCGCCGCCCUCGCCGCCGAGUCGCCAUAUGCCCGGCCUCUCCUUCCUUUGUGCUCCUACCGGGGGUAUUGCUCCGGCAUCGCGUUCGGCUGGGGAGGGCCCGCAUGGCACGCCGAGCCGCGUCUCAGCGGCGGCCGCGGCCACCGUUUCCGCUUCUGACGGCGACAGCGUGCCCUUUGAUGCGCCGCUAGGCGCCCCGUGGACGAUGAUGGAUGCGUGGUGCCACGGCUUCGCGGCGACGGCGGCGGAGGGAGGUCGAAGCCGCAAGCGCGCGCGCACUGCGAGUGCCACGGCAGCUUCGCCGACGAGUGCGGAGCCCACAAUUUUCGCGCGUCUUCAUUUGAGUGACACCUAUGACGGAGGCAGCGCGAGGAUGGGCUCAAAGGACAGUCCGUUGCCGACUGUGACCACGGUUGCUUCGCACGACACCUUCCGCAGAAACCCUUCGCCCGACUCGUUUGCGACGCUUCCCUCGUGGGCCUCUCUGGCAACGCCGCACGAGACACUGGAUGAGCCACAGAGCCGCGUUCCUGAGGAGGAUGACCUGCUCGACCUGCUACUUGGGGUGGAGCAGAAUGCAUCUCGGCCGCCCGAGUUUGCUGGUAGGCUGCCGUGUUCACGGGCGCAGCUCAUGGAAGCUACAGGAAUGACCGGCGCUGAAGUGCACACGGAGGGAGAGGGUGAACGAAGCACCUUGGCGAAGCGCGACGGGAGUGCGACGGUGUCCAGCAGCAUGACGGUCUCGAGACUGGGGACGUCUGCGGCGCGUGUCGGCGCCGACGGGCUUGCUACGUCCUGCGUGCAGAUGAAUCAGGUGACGACGUCGCUGGCCUUGACAGCGACGGCCACUGCGACCGCGACGCCUCGGGGGCCGGCUCUGAGUACGUCUUCAGCUGCCGACUUCUUCUGUAGUGCCGGUGACGCCAACAACUGCGAACACGUGCCCCUUUCCACCGUGAAGGACCUCAGAAGCACGUGCGCGCGGCUCGGCCUGCUGAGCACGGGCUCGAAGACGGCCCUGCAGCAGCGCCUCCGUCUUUACUACGCGUCCGCACCGGCGCCGCAACAGAGCGGCGCUCGUGUCCCGCUGGUGGCGGCUGCCGCGAACUUGUCUUCUGCACUGCAUGUGCCGCUCGACCCCAGUGCAACCCGAACGGGGGGCGAAGUUGGCGCUUCUCUUUCCACCGGCUCUCCUCCACGGACGGUCUUCCGCUACCGCAGUCCGUCGCAAUCGUCAGGGUCGGUCCUGCCCGCAUCUGCUGCUGCAGUGGCAGUCGGUCAGCCGCGCACCUGCGCUACUGAGUCAGUGAGUGUGCCGGCGACGCGGGCGGCUGCGACCGCUGCAUGGGAGCAUGCGGCGGUAUCUACCUCUCCUGUAGCUGCGGCUUCGGGCCAGCGUGGUCGUCUCGUCCCGUCCCCUACGCAGUUCCUUCACGAUCUCGCCUCUCGGACGACGCGGACACCUCACACGGCGCUUGCCACUCUCUGCGAUGCACACUCGCCCCCCUCCGUGACAGCCGCGCGAGCGCAGCAGGAGGAGCUGACGAGCGAGACGGGCCGCGUACGCUGGCAGUGGCUCGUGGACUUCCGCGAACGUUCCAGCGCACAUCGUGGCGGCGGCAGCAGCGGCAGGCGCCAGCAUGAGGGCAUCUUGGACAUCUUUCGUAAGCAGCAUGUGCCGUGCACAUCGAUGAUGCUGCCGGUCGGUGACUUCAUGCUGUCCGUGGAGCUGUCGCCCGGGGAGGCCGCUGCGAUGCACGUGUGUGGUGUUGCUGCAAGUACGGAGGCGGAUGCCGGAGUGCCAAGAGCCUCCGCCACGGCCGAGGGUGCUGCACCGGUUCUCAGCCAUGUCUGCUCUCUUGUUGUGGAGCGUAAGACGGCCGCGGACUUGGAUGCGAGCGUGAAGGGGGCACGCUACACAGAGCAGCGGCGACUGCUAGCGGCGUCGCCGUUUCGCUUAGUGGUGUGGCUGGUAGAGGGUUUGGUCGUUGCAGGCGGGAGCGGCAGCGGCUUCUUAAGUCGCGGUCAGCGCCACCGCCUUGGCGGUGGCGGUACAGAAAGUGACACGCAGCCAGGCAGUCGCAGCCCAUCACCCGCACCGUCACCGCCGGCAGAGAGCGCGCGCCAACGCGUUGACUCGGCGUGUGCUUCGCUGGGCCUCCACGGGAAGGGCUGGUUGGUGGUGCGCACCCGUAACACGACGGAGUCUGUGCAGUUUCUGAAGCUGCUCGCGACUCACGUCGCGCGGCAACUUGCCAGUUAUCGUCUUCGUCGUCGUUGCAUGGGCGAAGGCAAUAGUGGCAUGGUGGCUGGGAUUGAUGGCUGUGCUGCCUGCCAGAACGCAGCGCAGGACCCAUCCGCACAGCGCGUUGCACGCGCAGAUGGAGGAGACGUUCAUUGCGGUAACAUCUUCCGCAGCGCAGGUGAUGGUGCGUCAACGACGUGCAUGGCGGCCACUGUCGCGCUGCUGCAGUUAGCUCCCACGAACACAUGUCUGCAGUCCGUGAGUGCCCUGCAGCGGCACCUGCGCGCAAAGACGGCAUUUCCGCGCAUGCUCAUGUGCGUCCGCGGCUGCUCCGCCACGCUCGCGUCAUUGCUGUCCUCCAAGUACGGCACACUGCUGCGGUUUUGGCGAGAGCUGAGACGGCGCGGCCAGGAGGUGUGCGACGCCGACCCCGAUAUCCAGCGGCUCACCACAGCUCAGAAGAAGGUGUACGUACUGCUGACCGAGUUCCUGCUCGCCAAAGACUACUUCUGAUGCGGGUAGCGCACCAGUGGUGAUGGGGGAGUGCGUGUCUGCACGUAUGUGUGUGUGUGUGCGUUUAGCUUGUUUGCUCGUGUUGUAUUCACGCUUGG